RNAcentral lists this ribosomal RNA (481 nucleotides) under uncultured bacterium. Its description in RNAcentral is "partial 16S ribosomal RNA". It matches the Rfam family "Bacterial small subunit ribosomal RNA", at positions 28 to 523 of the family's 1533-position model. The record is from RNAcentral.
GACGAACGCUGGCGGCGUGCUUAACACAUGCAAGUCGAGCGGUAAGGCCCUUUCGGGGGUACACGAGCGGCGAACGGGUGAGUAACACGUGAGCAACCUGCCCUUCUCUUUGGAAUAAGCGUUGGAAACGACGUCUAAUGCCGAAUAUGACCCCCUGUCGCCUGGUGGGGGGUGGAAAGCUCUGGCGGAGAAGGAUGGGCUCGCGGCCUAUCAGCUUGUUGGUGUGGGUAAUGGCCCACCAAGGCGACGACGGGUAGCCGGCCUGAGAGGGUGACCGGCCACACUGGGACUGAGACACGGCCCAGACUCCUACGGGAGGCAGCAGUGGGGAAUAUUGGACAAUGGGCGAAAGCCUGAUCCAGCAACGCCGCGUGAGGGAUGACGGCCUUCGGGUUGUAAACCUCUUUCAGCAGGGACGAAGCGAGAGUGACGGUACCUGCAGAAGAAGGACCGGCCAACUACGUGCCAGCAGCCGCCGCCG